CCAAUAGCGUAUAUUAGUGUUGUUGCGGUUAAAAAGCUCGUAGUUGAAUUUCGGGAUUGGGAUAUAUCGGUCAUGCCUUUAGGGGCAUGAAUCGGUGUGUAGCCAAUUUCUCACCUUCUGGUGAAUUGGGACGCUCUUGGGUGUUUCAAUGAACUAGGACUUUUACUUUGAAAAAAAUAUAGUGUUUAAAGCGGGCAUUU
This 200-nucleotide ribosomal RNA is filed under the name uncultured Glomus. RNAcentral's name for it is "partial small subunit ribosomal RNA". It matches the Rfam family "Eukaryotic small subunit ribosomal RNA", at positions 591 to 789 of the family's 1831-position model. The record is from RNAcentral. Lineage: Eukaryota; Fungi; Glomeromycota; Glomeromycetes; Glomerales; Glomeraceae.